This 312-nucleotide ribosomal RNA is filed under the name Triticum aestivum (bread wheat). RNAcentral describes it as "partial small subunit ribosomal RNA". The record is from RNAcentral. Lineage: Eukaryota; Viridiplantae; Streptophyta; Magnoliopsida; Poales; Poaceae.
AUGUGGACCUUUAUUAUGCAGUCCGUCUCUUUUAUUACUUCCACAACAAGAUCGUGCAAAGCUUAUUUUCUCUGCACUAAUAAGUCAUACAUAUUUAGAGAGCAAUUUUUAUUGCUUGCACCGAUGACAACUUACUUGAAGGAUCUUACUCAAUCCAUAGGUAGGUAUGGUGGGCUCUCAUGGCAAAACUGGUUUUACGGGUAUUUGGAAGCACAAGUAGUAUCUCUACUUGGUGCAAGGAAUUUGUCUAGCAUGAGGGAGAAAGGCAAGCUCAACAUGUUUGGAAGGUUAAUGACAAUAUACUUUAAUUGA